Molecule: ribosomal RNA, 302 nt
Filed under: uncultured bacterium
Lineage: Bacteria
Description: partial 16S ribosomal RNA
Rfam family: Bacterial small subunit ribosomal RNA
Source: RNAcentral
GCAGUAGCCGCGGGAAUACGAAGGGUGCAAGCGUUACUCGGAAUUACUGGGCGUAAAGCGUGCGUAGGUGGUGGCUUAAGUCCGUUGUGAAAGCCCUGGGCUCAACCUGGGAAUUGCAGUGGAUACUGGAUCACUAGAGUGUGGUAGAGGAUAGUGGAAUUUCCGGUGUAGCAGUGAAAUGCGUAGAGAUCGGAAGGAACAUCUGUGGCGAAGGCGACUAUCUGGGCCAACACUGACACUGAGGCACGAAAGCGUGGGGAGCAAACAGGAUUAGAUACCCCCGUAGUCCCUGUCUCUUAUAC